This is a long non-coding RNA of Xenopus tropicalis (tropical clawed frog), 1513 nucleotides long. RefSeq lists it as uncharacterized. The transcript has 2 exons. Lineage: Eukaryota; Metazoa; Chordata; Amphibia; Anura; Pipidae. The record is from RefSeq and is a predicted model, not a curated record.
ACAUCAGCUGGGGCAGAAGACAAAUAAUUUACUCCCAAAAUGUGCUCCCAAUUGCGGGCAGGGAGCCCCAGCCAGCGCGCAUGUGUCCUGCCAUAAUUAUGAUGAUCAAUAAUGCAUUGCGAUUAAUCAUAGGAGUGGGGUUAGUAAUGGGGAGGGGGGCUGGCACAUGGCCAGCUCUAUUCAAACCAACUCGCCCUAAUCAAUGAGCUUGUGAUUCGCCAGAGGCCCCUGUCUCUCUCAGCUGCCACCCAAUGAUAAGGGGGCCGGCUCACGGGGAGGGAGGGAGGAGGCAGGGGCUUGUGUUUGGAUACAAGGUUAACCCUCUUAGCAACAACUCGCUAGCGCUGCGACUACAGGAAUGUUUCAGGGGCGAUCUGUGACUGCACAGGGUGUGAGGGGUACCCAACUAUCCAUUCCACCUUGCUACCCAGGAGUUUGUUGUAGAUCUCAAGCUCUGCGAGCAAGCAAUACAUCAUUGUGGUCACUGGAGUGCGAGAGAUGAGUAGGGGAUGAGCUACCUAUUCGCCAAACGAUAAGCGAUCUAUACAGCUGCCUUCAAUAUCGCACCGAAAUAGACAAGAACCGAUCCCUGGGCUGCACAUCCUCAUCCCGACCUGCCCACCUUGCCAGUGCGAUCUGUCGCACCCGGCUAGUUAAAUCAUUUAUUUUGUACGCUUUUACUUUCGCUCGUCUGCCUUGCUGAACUCCGGGAUGCUGAAUUUUGUAGUUCAGCAACAGCUGGAGGAGCAAGGGGUGCAACCCCAGUGAUCUAUCCCCAUCAGUGGCAGGGAAUGAAACGUCUGAGCAUCCACCAACUAUCGCAAACUGGAGUUUCAGACUUAUGGACUUAUAAUGCAUCCUGCAGAGGAAAUUUACCUUUAUGUAUCCAAAAACCCCCUAUGUCCCAGGGUGUAAUGGUCUCCAGGUUAUAAUCUCCCGCCCCGGUCACUUUCCCUCUUCUUGCCUGAUAACCUCAUUUCUUGUCACAAGAAGUCUUUGAAACUCUGGAGUUUUUCCAGCAUGAAAGUUGUUGCAAGUAGCAGACCUGCCCACUUGCCUUUGAUUGGUUACUGUGCCUGUCUUUUAGGGAAAGGCUACUAUGUUAAGAAUAGAUGAGAGGGCGGGGCCAGGUAGCAUGAGGAAAGAAAGCGGCAGGCUCAGUUCUUCAAGUAACAGCAUAGAGGGAGCGCUGGGGUGGCAGGUUCUGGUGGAAACUAAGCCGUCUCUUUUCAAAAAAACAACCAACCAAAAAAAAGCACAAAUCAGAUGAACUAGGAGGCUGCUUCUGUACCAACUUUCUCUUUUUCUUGGCCAAAAUCCCUAAAUACUGUACCACAGGAAUCCUAUUAUUCUGAGUAGAUCCCUUUGUGGCCACUACUGACCCCCUAGUACCUCAGCUCGGCAGGAAGGCUGUUGCUCAUUGAGUUGACUGAUGAAAAACAACCGCAAUACAACUGUGCGGUGUCUUUUGCAAUAUUUUACUUGUUCUGCCAAUAAAAUAUAUCUAGUACUA